AACGAACGCUGGCGGCAGGCUUAGCACAUGCAAGUCGAACGCCCCGCAAGGGGAGUGGCAGACGGGUGAGUAACGCGUGGGAAUCUACCCAUCCCUACGGAAUAACGCAUGGAAACGUGUGCUAAUACCGUAUACGCCCUACGGGGGAAAGAUUUAUCGGGGAUGGAUGAGCCCGCGUUGGAUUAGCUAGUUGGUGGGGUAAAGGCCUACCAAGGCGACGAUCCAUAGCUGGUCUGAGAGGAUGAUCAGCCACAUUGGGACUGAGACACGGCCCAAACUCCUACGGGAGGCAGCAGUGGGGAAUAUUGGACAAUGGGCGCAAGCCUGAUCCAGCCAUGCCGCGUGAGUGAUGAAGGCUUUAGGGUUGUAAAGCUCUUUCACCGGAGAAGAUAAUGACGGUAUCCGGAGAAGAAGCCCCGGCUAACUUCGUG
Molecule: ribosomal RNA, 431 nt
Filed under: uncultured bacterium
Lineage: Bacteria
Description: partial 16S ribosomal RNA
Rfam family: Bacterial small subunit ribosomal RNA
Source: RNAcentral